GAUGAACGCUGGCGGCGUGCCUAAUACAUGCAAGUCGAGCGAACAGAUGAGGAGCUUGCUCCUCUGACGUUAGCGGCGGACGGGUGAGUAACACGUGGAUAACCUACCUAUAAGACUGGGAUAACUUCGGGAAACCGGAGCUAAUACCGGAUAAUAUAUUGAACCGCAUGGUUCAAUAGUGAAAGACGGUUUUGCUGUCACUUAUAGAUGGAUCCGCGCCGCAUUAGCUAGUUGGUAAGGUAACGGCUUACCAAGGCAACGAUGCGUAGCCGACCUGAGAGGGUGAUCGGCCACACUGGAACUGAGACGCGGUCCAGACUCCUACGGGAGGCAGCAGUAGGGAAUCUUCCGCAAUGGGCGAAAGCCUGACGGAGCAACGCCGCGUGAGUGAUGAAGGUCUUCGGAUCGUAAAACUCUGUUAUUAGGGAAGAACAAAUGUGUAAGUAACUAUGCACGUCCUGACGGUACCUAAUCAGAAAGCCACGGCUAACUACGUG
Molecule: ribosomal RNA, 497 nt
Filed under: uncultured bacterium
Lineage: Bacteria
Description: partial 16S ribosomal RNA
Rfam family: Bacterial small subunit ribosomal RNA
Source: RNAcentral